CACGUGGGUAAUCUGCCUCUGAGUUGGGGACAACUUGCCGAAAGGCGAGCUAAUACCAGAUAUGGUUAUCCGUCAUAAGACGGGUGGAUCAAAGACGGGGAUUCUUCGGAACCUGUCGCUCAGAGAGGAGCCUGCGCGCCAUCAGCUAGUUGGUGAGGUAACGGCUCACCAAGGCUUACGGCUAGCUGGUCUGAGAGGAUGACCAGCCGCACUGGGACUGAGACACUGCCCAGACUCCUACGGGAGGCUGCAGUCGAGGAUCUUGGACAAUGGGGGAAACCCUGAUCCAGCGACGCUGCGUGGAGGAUGAAGGCCUUCGGGUUGUAAACUCCUGUCAUUCGGGAAAAACGACCCCGGCUCUAACACAGUCGGGGAGUGAUGGUACCGGAAGAGGAAGCCACGGCUAACUCUGUGCCAGCAGCCGCGGUAAUACAGAGGUGGCGAGCGUUGUUCGGAUUUACUGGGCGUAAAGGGUGCGUAGGUGGCUAUCUGUGUCGGAUGUGAAAUCCCAAGGCUCAACCUUGGAACUGCAUUCGAAACUGGGUAGCUAGAGUGCAGGAUGGGAGAGCGGAAUUCUUGGUGUAGCGGUGAAAUGCGUUGAUAUCAAGAAGAACACCGGUGGCGAAGGCGGCUCUCUGGAAUGCUACUGACACUGAGGCACGAAAGCUGGGGGAGCAAACAGGAUUAGAUACCCUGGUAGUCCCAGCUGUAAACGGUGUGCAUUUGGUGUGGGAGGAAUUGACCCCUUCCGUGCCGGAGCUAACGCGUUAAAUGCACCGCCUGGGGAGUACGGUCGCAAGACUAAAACUCAAAGAAAUUGACGGGGGCCCGCACAAGCGGAGGAGCAUGUGGCUCAAUUCGAUGCAACGCGAAGAACCUUACCAGGACUUGACAUGCAGCUGCACGUCCCGUGAAAGCGGGAUUCCUUCGAGGGUGCUGCACAGGUGCUGCAUGGCUGUCGUCAGUUCGUGCCGUGAGGUGUUGGGUUAAGUCCCGCAACGAACGCAACCCCUGUGUUUAGUUGCUACCAGGUAAUGCUGGGCACUCUAAACAGACUGCCUGUACAAAGCAGGAGGAAGGUGGGGAUGACGUCAAGUCAGUAUGGCCCUUACGUCCUGGGCUGCACACGUGCUACAAUGGCCAGUACAGAGGGAAGCAAGACCGCGAGGUGGAGCAAAUCCCCAAAAACCGGCCUCAGUUCGGAUUGAAGUCUGAAACUCGACUUCAUGAAGCUGGAUUCGCUAGUAAUGGCGCAUCAGCUACGGCGCCGUGAAUACGUUCCCGGGCCUUGUACACACCGCCCGUCACAUCAUGAAAGCCGCCUGCACCCAAAGUCGCUGAUUCAACCCGCAAGGGGGAUAGGUGCCUAAGGUGUGGGUGGUGAUUGGGAUGAAGUCGUAACAAGGUA
This 1408-nucleotide ribosomal RNA is filed under the name metagenome. Its description in RNAcentral is "bacterial SSU rRNA". It matches the Rfam family "Bacterial small subunit ribosomal RNA". The record is from RNAcentral.